Molecule: ribosomal RNA, 1171 nt
Filed under: uncultured Bacteroides sp.
Lineage: Bacteria; Pseudomonadati; Bacteroidota; Bacteroidia; Bacteroidales; Bacteroidaceae
Description: bacterial SSU rRNA
Rfam family: Bacterial small subunit ribosomal RNA
Source: RNAcentral
AGUUUGAUCCUGGCUCAGGAUGAACGCUAGCUACAGGCUUAACACAUGCAAGUCGAGGGGCAGCAUGAACUUAGCUUGCUAAGUUUGAUGGCGACCGGCGCACGGGUGAGUAACACGUAUCCAACCUGCCGAUGACUCGGGGAUAGCCUUUCGAAAGAAAGAUUAAUACCCGAUGGCAUAGUUCUUCCGCAUGGUGGAACUAUUAAAGAAUUUCGGUCAUCGAUGGGGAUGCGUUCCAUUAGGUUGUUGGCGGGGUAGCGGCCCACCAAGCCUUCGAUGGAUAGGGGUUCUGAGAGGAAGGUCCCCCACAUUGGAACUGAGACACGGUCCAAACUCCUACGGGAGGCAGCAGUGAGGAAUAUUGGUCAAUGGACGAGAGUCUGAACCAGCCAAGUAGCGUGAAGGAUGACUGCCCUAUGGGUUGUAAACUUCUUUUAUACGGGAAUAAAGUGAGGCACGUGUGCCUUUUUGUAUGUACCGUAUGAAUAAGGAUCGGCUAACUCCGUGCCAGCAGCCGCGGUAAUACGGAGGAUCCGAGCGUUAUCCGGAUUUAUUGAGUUUAAAGGGAGCGUAGGCGGACGCUUAAGUCAGUUGUGAAAGUUUGCGGCUCAACCGUAAAAUUGCAGUUGAUACUGGGUGUCUUGAGUACAGUAGAGGCAGGCGGAAUUCGUGGUGUAGCGGUGAAAUGCUUAGAUAUCACGAAGAACUCCGAUUGCGAAGGCAGCUUGCUGGACUGUAACUGACGCUGAUGCUCGAAAGUGUGGGUAUCAAACAGGAUUAGAUACCCUGGUAGUCCACACAGUAAACGAUGAAUACUCGCUGUUUGCGAUAUACAGUAAGCGGCCAAGCGAAAGCGUUAAGUAUUCCACCUGGGGAGUACGCCGGCAACGGUGAAACUCAAAGGAAUUGACGGGGGCCCGCACAAGCGGAGGAACAUGUGGUUUAAUUCGAUGAUACGCGAGGAACCUUACCCGGGCUUGAAUUGCAACUGAAUGAUGUGGAGACAUGUCAGCCGCAAGGCAGUUGUGAAGGUGCUGCAUGGUUGUCGUCAGCUCGUGCCGUGAGGUGUCGGCUUAAGUGCCAUAACGAGCGCAACCCUUAUCGAUAGUUACCAUCAGGUUAUGCUGGGGACUCUGUCGAGACUGCCGUCGUAAGAUGUGAGGAAGGUGGA